Pyrus x bretschneideri (Chinese white pear) is the source of this 660-nucleotide long non-coding RNA. RefSeq lists it as uncharacterized. NCBI's taxonomy places the organism in Eukaryota, Viridiplantae, Streptophyta, Magnoliopsida, Rosales, Rosaceae. The transcript has 2 exons. The record is from RefSeq and is a predicted model, not a curated record.
CAGCAAUCAACUUUGGUGUCUCAAGGCUUCACCAAAAAAUUGUAGACUAAAAUAACCCUCAAACAAAAAAAAACAAAAACUGACACAAUAAAAUACAUUAAAAAACUCAUGGACAUUUUUGUCAGAAUACAAAAAUAUAAAAUUUGUUUUAUUAACAGAAAAAGAAAAAGAAACAGAUAACUCCUCCAUUUUAGGAGAGAGAACAACGGGAGAAAAAUCUUCAGGAUUAGCACGUUUAAUUUUCAAACUGCAUAGCAGUUUCCAUACAACCCACGUCUAUCUUCUAUUCCCCCAUUUUCUGAUCAAACUUCUUCCUCACACAAUUCCACGUACAACUCUAUUCAUUCUGCUUUCUAACUGCAGCCUACCACUCCAUAUUCUCUCCUUCUUUCACUACUAUUUCUCUACAGGUUUCAGUUCUCACCCAUUUGCAUGCUAAGAAUGUACACAAAUCGCAUCAAAGGGAGGCUAUGAUGAAGGGACUGAUAACUCUGCAAGAUGUCGAAAUGGCUGUUGCCGAUGCUGAUGGUUACUCCUUCUCUCAAUCUCUCCGUUGUAUUUGCUAUUGCUAUUGUAUCUUUAAUCGUGUACACCAAAUUAAACAACGUAUUGUUUCUGGCUAAAGCCUUGCAAGUAUCUAAAACUGAUUCAGUUUGUUUC